RNAcentral lists this ribosomal RNA (725 nucleotides) under uncultured bacterium. RNAcentral describes it as "bacterial SSU rRNA". It matches the Rfam family "Bacterial small subunit ribosomal RNA", at positions 66 to 773 of the family's 1533-position model. The record is from RNAcentral.
ACGAGAGGAAGGAAAGCUUGCUUUUCUGAAUCUAGUGGCGAACGGGUGAGUAACACGUAGGUAACCUGCCCAUGUGCCCGGGAUAACUUCUGGAAACGGAUGCUAAAACCGGAUAGGUAGCAGACAAGCAUUUGACUGCUAUUAAAGUGGCUUUGGCCAUGAACAUGGAUGGACCUGCGGUGCAUUAGCUGGUUGGUGAGGUAACGGCCCACCAAGGCGACGAUGCAUAGCCGGCCUGAGAGGGCGGACGGCCACAUUGGGACUGAGACACGGCCCAAACUCCUACGGGAGGCAGCAGUAGGGAAUUUUCGUCAAUGGGGGGAACCCUGAACGAGCAAUGCCGCGUGAGUGAGGAAGGUCUUCGGAUCGUAAAGCUCUGUUGUAAGAGAAAAACGGCACUCAUAGGGAAUGAUGAGUGAGUGAUGGUAUCUUACCAGAAAGUCACGGCUAACUACGUGCCAGCAGCCGCGGUAAUACGUAGGUGGCGAGCGUUAUCCGGAAUGAUUGGGCGUAAAGGGUGCGUAGGUGGCAGAUCAAGUCUGGAGUAAAAGGUAUGGGCUCAACCCGUACUGGCUCUGGAAACUGAUCAGCUAGAGAACAGAAGAGGACGGCGGAACUCCAUGUGUAGCGGUAAAAUGCGUAGAUAUAUGGGAAGAACACCGGUGGCGAAGGCGGCCGUCUGGUCUGGAUUCUGACACUGAAGCACGAAAGCGUGGGGAGCAAAU